Non-coding RNA from Sinorhizobium fredii GR64, 149 nucleotides. The record is from Rfam. NCBI's taxonomy places the organism in Bacteria, Pseudomonadati, Pseudomonadota, Alphaproteobacteria, Hyphomicrobiales, Rhizobiaceae.
GAGCGGCACUUAAACGAUGCCGUCGUCUGGUGAUUGGCCUGUCCCCCGCCCGCACCAGAUGUGGACAAAGGCCUCAUCCCCCUCUCCGGGCCUUUGUCCCGCUUUCACAGAGCCGCCACGGCGCCGCCUCCGCGCCGUGGCGGUUUUUG